AUCAGUUCUUUGCCUCUCAGCACCCUGCUUUUCCCCCGAGAAAAAGAAAUUAAAGUUAUUUCUUAUGGGCUAGACAGUAUAUUGCCAGGUACUCACAAGUAAAAUCUCUGAUGAAAGUUCUUGGAAUGUUUUUUUCAAAACGGAGUUGAGGUUAUUUUGUUUUUCCUUCCAGGUAUUGAAGACAGGAUUUAUCUUCUCUACUUCUUCUUUUAGAAGCAGAUCAAGAAACUGGCGAUUGAAGAGUAACUGAAAGAAACGCAAUCUGAUCUUACUAGCAGUGAAAGAGCGAGUGGAGGAAACAGAUGAAGGAAACAGCUUACACCAAGAUUUCAGAUACGAUCAUUUUGAAUAGCUAUUUCCUUUACUUUCCAGGAUUGUUUUUGUAAUCAGUUGAAAAAGAAUGCUUUUUUCCCCCUAGAGUUAGGGUUUAAAAAAUUACAUAUUUAUUAUUACACUGUUAAUAAGCUUUUUUGCAGUUUGUUUCUUCUUCAAGUUAUUUCAUUUGUUUCACCCACUGUCAAUGUAUUUAUUUUUUUUAAAAGUCUGAGGGCUACCGUUGGAGGUCUCUCUUAGUGAGACAAUGUAAUGCAUUAUCUAUUGCAG
Molecule: long non-coding RNA, 603 nt
Filed under: Homo sapiens (human)
Lineage: Eukaryota; Metazoa; Chordata; Mammalia; Primates; Hominidae
Description: non-protein coding lnc-FAM171B-1:11
Source: RNAcentral